This 1343-nucleotide ribosomal RNA is filed under the name uncultured bacterium. Its description in RNAcentral is "16S ribosomal RNA". It matches the Rfam family "Bacterial small subunit ribosomal RNA", at positions 28 to 1378 of the family's 1533-position model. The record is from RNAcentral.
GACGAACGCUGGCGGCGUGCUUAACACAUGCAAGUCGAACGGAAAGGCCCUGCUUUUGUGGGGUGCUCGAGUGGCGAACGGGUGAGUAACACGUGAGUAACCUGCCCUUGACUUUGGGAUAACUUCAGGAAACUGGGGCUAAUACCGGAUAGGAGCUCCUGCUGCAUGGUGGGGGUUGGAAAGUUUCGGCGGUUGGGGAUGGACUCGCGGCUUAUCAGCUUGUUGGUGGGGUAGUGGCUUACCAAGGCUUUGACGGGUAGCCGGCCUGAGAGGGUGACCGGCCACAUUGGGACUGAGAUACGGCCCAGACUCCUACGGGAGGCAGCAGUGGGGAAUAUUGCACGAUGGGCGGAAGCCUGAUGCAGCAACGCCGCGUGCGGGAUGACGGCCUUCGGGUUGUAAACCGCUUUCGCCUGUGACGAAGCGUGAGUGACGGUAAUGGGUAAAGAAGCACCGGCUAACUACGUGCCAGCAGCCGCGGUGAUACGUAGGGUGCGAGCGUUGUCCGGAUUUAUUGGGCGUAAAGGGCUCGUAGGUGGUUGAUCGCGUCGGAAGUGUAAUCUUGGGGCUUAACCCUGAGCGUGCUUUCGAUACGGGUUGACUUGAGGAAGGUAGGGGAGAAUGGAAUUCCUGGUGGAGCGGUAGAAUGCGCAGAUAUCAGGAGGAACACCAGUGGCGAAGGCGGUUCUCUGGGCCUUUCCUGACGCUGAGGAGCGAAAGCGUGGGGAGCGAACAGGCUUAGAUACCCUGGUAGUCCACGCUGUAAACGGUGGGUACUAGGUGUGGGGUCCAUUCCACGGGUUCCGUGCCGUAGCUAACGCUUUAAGUACCCCGCCUGGGGAGUACGGCCGCAAGGCUAAAACUCAAAGGAAUUGACGGGACCCCGCACAAGCGGCGGAGCAUGCGGAUUAAUUCGAUGCAACGCGUAGAACCUUACCUGGGUUUGACAUGGAUCGGGAGCGCUCAGAGAUGGGUGUGCCUCUUUUGGGGUCGGUUCACAGGUGGUGCAUGGCUGUCGUCAGCUCGUGUCGUGAGAUGUUGGGUUAAGUCCCGCAACGAGCGCAACCCUUGUUCACUGUUGCCAGCACGUUAUGGUGGGGACUCAGUGGAGACCGCCGGGGUCAACUCGGAGGAAGGUGGGGAUGACGUCAAGUCAUCAUGCCCCUUAUGUCCAGGGCUUCACGCAUGCUACAAUGGCUGGUACAGAGAGUGGCGAGCCUGUGAGGGUGAGCGAAUCUCGGAAAGCCGGUCUCAGUUCGGAUUGGGGUCUGCAACUCGACCUCAUGAAGUCGGAGUCGCUAGUAAUCGCAGAUCAGCAACGCUGCGGUGAAUACGUUCCCGGG